This 510-nucleotide ribosomal RNA is filed under the name Trigonopterus sp. 749 AR-2022a. RNAcentral's name for it is "partial large subunit ribosomal RNA". It matches the Rfam family "Bacterial large subunit ribosomal RNA", at positions 1819 to 2625 of the family's 2925-position model. Lineage: Eukaryota; Metazoa; Arthropoda; Insecta; Coleoptera; Curculionidae. The record is from RNAcentral.
GGCCUAUUGAUAAUAAUUUUAGGUCUGGCCUGCCCACUGAGCGAUUAAAUGGCCGCGGUAUAUUGACCGUGCAAAGGUAGCAUAAUCACUAGUUUUUUAAUUGGAAGCUUGAAUGAAAGGUUUGAUGAGAAGAAGACUGUCUCUGUAAAAAUUUAUUAGAAUUUUAUUUUUAAGUUAAAAAGCUUAAAUGUGUAUAGAAGACGAGAAGACCCUAUAGAGUUUUAUAAAUUUUUGAAAAGUUAAGUUUUUAGGCUAAAAAUUUGUUUUUUAAAUAUUUAUUUUGUUGGGGUGACAGAAAAAUUAAGUUAACUUUUUUUAGUACAGAAACAUUGAUUUUUAUAAGAAAAAAUUACCUUAGGGAUAACAGCGUAAUUUUUUUUAGAGCCCUGAUCGAAAAAAAAGAUUGCGACCUCGAUGUUGGAUUAAAAUAAAUUAUUGGUGUAGAAGCUAAUAAAUUAGGUCUGUUCGACCUUUAAAAUUUUACAUGAUCUGAGUUUAAACCGGCGUGAG